Molecule: ribosomal RNA, 638 nt
Filed under: uncultured bacterium
Lineage: Bacteria
Description: bacterial SSU rRNA
Rfam family: Bacterial small subunit ribosomal RNA
Source: RNAcentral
GAUGGGCGUCGACCGGCGCACGGGUGAGUAACGCGUAUCCAACCUGCCCACCACUUGGGGAUAACCUUGCGAAAGUAAGACUAAUACCCAAUGAUAUCUCUAGAAGACAUCUGAAAGAGAUUAAAGAUUUAUCGGUGAUGGAUGGGGAUGCGUCUGAUUAGCUUGUUGGCGGGGUAACGGCCCACCAAGGCAACGAUCAGUAGGGGUUCUGAGAGGAAGGUCCCCCACAUUGGAACUGAGACACGGUCCAAACUCCUACGGGAGGCAGCAGUGAGGAAUAUUGGUCAAUGGACGAGAGUCUGAACCAGCCAAGUAGCGUGCAGGAUGACGGCCCUAUGGGUUGUAAACUGCUUUUAUAAGGGAAUAAAGUGAGUCUCGUGAGAUUUUUUGCAUGUACCUUAUGAAUAAGGACCGGCUAAUUCCGUGCCAGCAGCCGCGGUAAUACGGAAGGUCCGGGCGUUAUCCGGAUUUAUUGGGUUUAAAGGGAGCGUAGGCCGGAGAUUAAGCGUGUUGUGAAAUGUAGAUGCUCAACAUCUGCACUGCAGCGCGAACUGGUUUCCUUGAGUACGCACAAAGUGGGCGGAAUUCGUGGUGUAGCGGUGAAAUGCUUAGAUAUCACGAAGAACUCCGAUUGCGAA